AGAGUUUGAUCCUGGCUCAGAACGAACGUUGGCGGCGUGGAUGAGGCAUGCAAGUCGAACGUGAAAGCCGCAAGGUGAGUAGCGUGGCGGACGGGCGAGUAACACGUAACCAAGCUACCUGCGAGACGGGAAUAACCUCGGGAAACCGAGGCUAAGACCCGAUGGCCUGCCGGGGACGCAUGUUCCUGGUAGUAAAUGGGCGGGAUCCUUUGGGAUCGCCUGCUCGCAGAGGUGGUUGCGGCCCAUCAGCUAGUUGGUAGGGUAACGGCCUACCAAGGCAACGACGGGUAGCCGGCCUUAGAGGGUGGUCGGCCGCACUGGGACUGAGACACUGCCCAGACUCCUACGGGAGGCUGCAGUCGAGAAUCUUCCGCAAUGGGCGAAAGCCUGACGGAGCGACGCCGCGUGGAGGACGAAGGCCUUCGGGUUGUAAACUCCUGUCACGAGUUAAGAAGGUCGGCCUACGAACAGUGGGACGAUUUGACGUAAGCUCGAGAGGAAGCACUGGCUAACUCUGUGCCAGCAGCCGCGGUAAUACAGAGAGUGCAAACGUUGUUCGGAAUUACUGGGCUUAAAGCGCACGUAGGCUGCGUCGUAAGUGUCAGGUGAAAUCCCACGGCUCACCCGUGGAACUGCCUGGCAGACUGCGAUGCUAGAGUGUGGUAGGGGAGAGCGGAACUCUUGGUGGAGCGGUGAAAUGCGUAGAUAUCAAGAGGAACACCGGUGGCGAAGGCGGCUCUCUGGUCCACAACUGACGCUGAGGUGCGAAAGCUAGGGGAGCAAACGGGAUUAGAUACCCCGGUAGUCCUAGCUGUAAACGAUGGGCACUAGCUUGGGGUCUCCCUGUGUGAUCCCAGGUGAAGUAAAAAUGAUAAGUGCCCCGCCUGGGGAGUAUGGUCGCAAGGCUGAAACUCAAAGGAAUUGACGG
Molecule: ribosomal RNA, 928 nt
Filed under: uncultured Planctomycetota bacterium
Lineage: Bacteria; Pseudomonadati; Planctomycetota
Description: bacterial SSU rRNA
Rfam family: Bacterial small subunit ribosomal RNA
Source: RNAcentral